Molecule: long non-coding RNA, 2192 nt
Organism: Bos taurus (domestic cattle)
Lineage: Eukaryota; Metazoa; Chordata; Mammalia; Artiodactyla; Bovidae
Source: Ensembl
GAUUAGAUCAGUGUUUCCCAAACUAAUUUAACGCGGUGGAGUCAUUUAUUCUCAUAACUCCUAUUAAUGUCUCAGGAAUUACUGGGGAAGACAAAGCCGCAGGCUCAAGAUUCCUUGAGAACAGGGAGCAGGUCUUGCUCAUCUUCAUUGUUUCCACACGGCCUUACAGUUGUUUUUAAGAAAUUAUACAAAAUGAGAUUGGAUUGAUGACUCUGCUUUCUAACCGACAGCCACACACGUGCGAACUGGGGGCCAAGGUUAGAGGUUGAGUCUGCUCCGAAGUGUUUCUCGGUGUAAAGCUAAUUGGCCCCUUUGGGGAUGAACCUGUGAACUUGGCCUUGUUAACGCCAGCACAAAACAGCUGCGUUAGUUUAUCUGGUACCCUGAAAUUGUUCUCUUACCCAGAUUCUCAUGCUGUCCUGCAGAUGGCGAUGCUGGUUUGUCAACUUUCUGAGAGCCUGAAGCUUGAGCCAAGAAAAGCUUGAAAUUGAGGGGAAGCAGAUGCAGACUAAAGAGGUAGUUCCUGCAGCUAGAAGAAGCAGAAUUGGAAAUUCAACCCUGCUUCUUAGGCCUGGCGCUGUAUCUGAGUGUUUUGCUAGACUGAAAUGAGAAGGUUCUAUCAAGUACAUGGUACACAAUGAGUUGUUAAUAAAGUUUGGAUGAAUGAAUGACCUCAUGAAUGAAGGGUGUCUCCUGCAGAAGUGAUAUCUGAGCCUGAACCGAGGAAGGCACUGUCAGGGAGCUUGGUCUAGAUAAGCAGAAAGAGGACCCGAGGAAGCUGCAAGAACUAUCUUCACACACGUGAGAGGUGUCACGCAGAGGAGAUUGCAGAACAAAAUUGUGCCUCUUCAAGUCUUGGGAGGCCAGUUUCUUUAACAAAGAAGAAUCUCAGAGCUGUCUAAACAUAAAAGGAGUUACUUUUAAAAAAUAUUUAUUUAUUUGGCUGCUCUGGGUCUUAGUUGCUGCACACAGGAUCUUCUGUUGCAGGACGUGAGAACUUCAGUGGCUGUAUGUGGGAUCUAUUUCCCUGACAAGGGAUCGAACCUGGGCCCUCUGCAGUGAGAGUGAGGAGUCUUAGAGGCACUGAUGGCAAACACCAUCCAAUCAUCUCAGCCAGAGGCAGCAUGAACAUCUAGCAGGAAUGGAGAAGAAAGGAACCUUUCAUUAGAUUGAGGCAGAAGGAGGAGGUUACUGACGCAUGUGGCUGAAGGGCAGGCAUGCAGAAGGGACUCAAUAUUUGUUGAACAAAUGAAUAACAGUCUUCUAAUCAUCAAAGACUCAUUCUGUAAAUAGCUAUUAAAAGUUUUUAUACAUUAGGUCUGUACUCAACUGAAGAGGUUGCAUCAGUGAAAAGGAUGACUCAGCCCUCAUCAACAGCGGGGAGUGUACUAUAUAGGUUGGAAGCCCAAGAUACAUCCACACUGCCUGGGCUCAAAACCCAGCUCUGCCGAUUCCUGUAUGCCUGUGUGCCUCAGUCUCCUCAGCUGUAAAAUGGGGAUAAAAUAGCAGCCAUGUUAAGGGAUUAUUUUGACAAUUAAAUGAAUUAAUACUUGACACAUCUUAUUGAUUCAAGUAUUAAUGAUUAUCACGGUGCAUAUCUUCCAGCAAGGGCUACAGAGAAGUUACUGUUAUGUGAAGGAUGCUCUGAGGAGUAUGAACUGAAAUAUGUGAGUGUCCGGACAGCCCAAUAAUUAGACACCCCAUCAAAUCAAUAUGCUCUAAAUCUCUAUUCAGUUUUCAUUAGAGGAAAGGCUAAGUGCUUUGCGAGGCAGGAUUAUGGCUCACCCAACAGGGCUUUUGUGAUGGUACCUCUCUCUCCGCUCGGAGUUGCCCGGUGCAACUAGAAAGGGAUGUUGGGACCCAGUCAGCAGGGAAGGGCAGAGAAAGGAGACCUGCUGGUGCCAACCCUGAUCCUUACACCAAAGUCCUGAGCAAUUCCACUCAGCUCCAAACCUGCAGUCCCCACAAAGCCUAACGAACACUUUGAAGUUAAACAGACAACUGUGUGCGUGCUUGCCAAGUCGCUUCAAUUGUGUCCGACUCUUUGCACCUUUAUGGACUAUAGCCCGCCAGGCUCCUCUGUCCAUGGAAUUCUCCAGGCAAGAAUACUGGAGUGGGUUUCCAUGCCCUCCUCCAGGGGAUCUUCCCAACCCAUCUCUUGGGUCUCCUGCGUUGGCAGGUGGGUUCUUUAC